This is a long non-coding RNA of Macaca fascicularis (crab-eating macaque), 2389 nucleotides long. The record is from Ensembl. Lineage: Eukaryota; Metazoa; Chordata; Mammalia; Primates; Cercopithecidae.
AAAAAAAUCUAUAAACACAGAUAUAAAAAGCUACUGUUGCCUCUGUUCAAGUUCCCAUCACAUGUGACCUGAUUUUCUUAUCUUCUGUGAUGUCUGGACCCUUAUUUCCCAGAGAAAGCCAAGGCGAAUUGCUUUCAGGAGUCUCUAUCUCUGUCUGCAAACCAAACCCAGUUUGCCCAUUAGGCAGACAUCUGGUGUGGAGACCACGGCAAAACUUCCUCAUGGAGCCUCAAUCUGAGUGGAAGGCCAAGCUGUACUUGGUCAGAAUUCAUCUGGAGAUCAAGAGAUUAAUAAAUGAUAAAUCCUGAUGAAACAAACAAAGCACAGUAGAAAUUCUGACUCCUCUUAAAGGAAAUAACACAAAGUGGAAAAUAAAAGGUAAGAUAAAAAUGCACACGAUUCUGACCUGUCAGUGAAGCUUAAAUAAAUAUGGAAAUUUAGAAAAAUGAAAAUAAAGUAAUGAUGGAUUUUUCCUUCUGGUAAUGGAAGAGUUGGUUACAAACUCUUGAAGGUUUGAGACACCAGUGAGAAGACUAUUGAGUGUUUUUCCCCUCAAGGCAUUUGUCAAGUAUCCAGGACAAAAGAGAACCCAAGGGGAAAUCAGUGGAUAAGAGGUUAGGAAACUUAGCAGAACUUUUAGCAGUCUCAUGGGAAUGGAGUAACAAAAAUAUACUUCAGGACCCACAAGUUGGAGAGUUCUUGGUGAACACCUCAGACUACUAGUUUAGACCAAGGAGGACUAUAUUUUAGGAAUCAGAACAAUCAAAACUAGAUCUAGUGUCACAAAACUCUAAAAUCCAAACUGGAAACAACUCAGACCUAAACUCUAAUUGCCUGUUCCCAGAAAAAAGUAAAUCUUCUCUUGAGAAUGGCAACCUGAGACAGAUCCUAAAAAUAUCUAUAUGCUUCUUUAUAAUGAUGUCUGGCAUUCAGUCAAAAAUUAUUAGAUAUGCUAGGAGAAAGUACCAAAUGACAGCAAACAAGGUCAGAAAAUGCCCAAUACAGAUUAUUCAAUUAUCCAGAUAUUAUAGUUAGCAAGUACAAAAUAUAAAAUAACUAUUAAUAAUAUGUUCAAGAUAAUAACAGACAAGAUGGAAAAUUUCAUCAGAAACUGGAAUCUAUAAGAAGCCAAAUGAAAGUUCUACCUCUGAAAAAAAAAAUAAAAAAUUUACAACUUAAUAGAUGGAUUUAAAAUAGAUUGGACAUAACAGGAGAAACAAUGAGUAAACUCAAGAUAGAACAAGAGAAGCACCAGAGAAAAAAGCAAGGAUAUAAGAGACAUAGAAUACUGUGAAAAGCUAUGAUAUACAGGUGAUUGGAGAAAAACGGAGGGAGAAAAGUAGUAUAUUGACAAAGAUAUUUGUGAAACUGAUAUUUUAAAAAAUCAGACCACCAAAGCAUAAAGCUCUCUAUAUUCCCAAGGAGAUCAAUCACAAGGAAAGUCACAUUUAGCUCUAUCAUAGUAGAAUUUUUAGGGACCAAAGACAGAAGAAAAAAAAAAUCUCAGUUAGGCAAGGUGGCAUGAGCCAGUCCCAGCUACUGAGGAGGCUGAGGUAGGAGAGGAUCACUUGAGGCUAGAAGCCAAGAGUCGGGUCCAGCCUGGGCAACAUAGCAAGAGCUCAUCUCUAAAAAUAAAAAUAAAAACAUAAAAACUCAUCAGCAGCAAAAGGAAAAAACAAACAAUGAAAUGGAAGACAGAAAACAAUGAAAACUAGCAUUGAAAACAAUGGGUGUGGCAGAAUAACUGCCAACAUAGAAUUCUGUGCCCAGUAAAAAUAUCCCGGCCGGGCGCGGUGGCUCAAGCCUGUAAUCCCAGCACUUUGGGAGGCCGAGGCUGGUGGAUCACGAGGUCAGGAGAUCAAGACUAUCCUGGCUAACAUGGUGAAACCCCGUCUCUACUAAAAAUACAAAAAACUAGCCGGGCGUGGUAGCAGGCGCCUGUAGUCCCAGCUACUUGGGAGGCUGAGGUGGGAGAAUGGCGUGAACCCGGGAGGUGGAGCUUGCAGUGAGCUGAGAUCAUGCCACUCCACUCCAGCCUGAGAGACACAGCGAGACUCCAUCUCAAAAAAAAAAAAAAAAAAAAAAAAAAAAGUGUUUUCAAACAACCAAAACCCAAACCAGGGGAUGUUUUUUUACCAGUAGAUUUAUACUAAAAGAACUAUGAAAGUAAGUAAUUUAGGCUGGAAGAAAAUGCUCCCAGAUGGAAACAUGGAAAAUCAGGAAUAAAUGAAGAGAAACUGGAAGAGAAAAUAUGUGAAUCAGUAUAUAGGAAUGACUUUAGUAAAGUUUCAGCCUACAAAAUAAAUGUACAAAAAUCAGUAGUACUUCUGUAUACCAAUAAUGUUCUUGCCAAGUGUCAAAUCAAGAACAUAAUCCUAACCAGGCACAA